RNAcentral lists this ribosomal RNA (616 nucleotides) under uncultured bacterium. RNAcentral describes it as "bacterial SSU rRNA". It matches the Rfam family "Bacterial small subunit ribosomal RNA", at positions 338 to 946 of the family's 1533-position model. The record is from RNAcentral.
CCUACGGGAGGCAGCAGUGGGGAAUUUUGGACAAUGGGCGAAAGCCUGAUCCAGCAAUGCCGCGUGAGUGAAGAAGGCCUUCGGGUUGUAAAGCUCUUUUGUCAGGGAAGAAACGGUGUGGGCUAAUAUCCUGCACUAAUGACGGUACCUGAAGAAUAAGCACCGGCUAACUACGUGCCAGCAGCCGCGGUAAUACGUAGGGUGCAAGCGUUAAUCGGAAUUACUGGGCGUAAAGCGUGCGCAGGCGGUUUUGUAAGUUUGUCGUGAAAGCCCCGGGCUCAACCUGGGAAUUGCGAUGAAGACUGCAAGGCUUGAAUCUGGCAGAGGGGGGUAGAAUUCCACGUGUAGCAGUGAAAUGCGUAGAGAUGUGGAGGAACACCGAUGGCGGAGGCAGCCCCCUGGGUCAAGAUUGACGCUCAUGCACGAAAGCGUGGGGAGCAAACAGGAUUAGAUACCCUGGUAGUCCACGCCCUAAACGAUGUCUACUAGUUGUCGGGUUUUAAUUAACUUGGUAACGCAGCUAACGCGUGAAGUAGACCGCCUGGGGAGUACGGUCGCAAGGUUAAAACUUCAAAGGAAUUGACGGNNGNGAGNGCGAGACGACGACGAGGAGAGG